RNAcentral lists this ribosomal RNA (439 nucleotides) under uncultured bacterium. RNAcentral's name for it is "partial 16S ribosomal RNA". It matches the Rfam family "Bacterial small subunit ribosomal RNA", at positions 338 to 795 of the family's 1533-position model. The record is from RNAcentral.
CCUACGGGUGGCAGCAGUGGGGAAUAUUGCACAAUGGGCGAAAGCCUGAUGCAGCAACGCCGCGUGAGCGAUGAAGGCCUUCGGGUCGUAAAGCUCUGUCCUCAAGGAAGAUAAUGACGGUACUUGAGGAGGAAGCCCCGGCUAACUACGUGCCAGCAGCCGCGGUAAUACGUAGGGGGCUAGCGUUAUCCGGAAUUACUGGGCGUAAGGGGUGCGUAGGUGGUUUCUUAAGUAAGAGGUGAAAGGCUACGGCUCAACCGUAGUAAGCCUUUGAAACUGGGGAACUUGAGUGCAGUAGAGGAGAGUGGAAUUCCUAGUGUAGCGGUGAAAUGCGUAGAUAUAUGGAAGAACACCAGUGGCGAAGGCGGCCGCCUGGCCUGUUGCUGACGCUGAGGCACGAAAGCGUGGGGAGCAAAUAGGAUUAGAUACCCUGGUAGUC